CUGAAUUAACCCCGGGGAUGCCAGAGGGACUCUUAGGUCUUGGUGGUGGUUAUUAAUAAGCGUCAUCGUUCACCUUAAAGAACAGAGGGCAGGAGUUUGAGUUCUUUUCAGCCAGAAGAAAUGCUAGGUGUGUAACGUGGAGUUAGCCAGAUGGGCUGUGUUCUGCAGAAACUCACUGUGCAGGGAUUCACCAUUCAUGAGUCUAAAACUCAGAGAACUGAUUUCACCGAUGGAAUCUGUCUGCAGAAUUUUCCACUCCCUCAGCCGAUGUGUGCAUGUAGGGCCAUGUUCGGCGGUCACUUCUGCAGGAGAGAAAUCAUUUCCAUACCAGGGCUGGAUGCCCUCUGUAUUCCUUGGCUUGUGGCUUCGCCUUUCAUCUUCAAAGCCAGCUAAGUAUUUUCAACGACGUGAUGACUGGAAGGCAUCGGCGCUGCACUACAGUUUUAAGUCUGGCGAACACGCGGACAAGGACUCUCCAGCCAGCCGGUUCCCAGCAUGACUCUUAGGAAUAUGUGGGAGAUUCUCUCCGGGUUCGACCAAGGUCAAGUGGGGGCUCUGAGCACAGGAGCCCUAGCGAGGGACCAGCGGGGCGGGGACAGAGCUUUCCUCCCGGAAAACCCUCUGCUCUCUCCGAUGCGGGCCCGCCGAGGCCCGAGCGGGGUUGGAAGCCUAGAUAAGCUUCCAGCGGCAACCGCCGGGUCAGAAGAACAACCGCGAAGCUCCGGGCUCUGCGGCAGGACCCUCGGCGGCCGCCGUACCGCAGAGCCGAACCCGCGCGCCCUGAGCGCAGCGGCAGCUGAGUACUCAGACCAACCUGGGCGACUCCGGAGCAUCCUUAGAGCCUCGGGAUCUUGCUUUCCUCACCAGUAAAAUGGCUUCCUGUCUCACGGGCUGUGUGAGGACUGAAUGAGGUAAUGCUUAUGCAGUCAUAAAGUGCUUAUCGCAAUGCCCCAAGCCGAUGCGGGCAGUCAGCCUAGAGAGGCAGUUUCCUCUUCCUUACCUGAUAGGCAUAUCGCGUCAUCUACACCCCUGGCACUACCUGGGGGACGGCGUGGGCUCUCCAAAAAGACCUCAGAUCCCUUUACUCUAGAAGGAGGAUGAAGCUUCUGGAAUGUUAAAAGAAUGCAGCGAGACUGUCUCUAAAGGGGGUUGUCCCCUGGCUGAUGCUAAAAUAAAUUACUUUCUCUGCC
This is a long non-coding RNA of Phacochoerus africanus (Common warthog), 1190 nucleotides long. RefSeq lists it as uncharacterized. The record is from RefSeq and is a predicted model, not a curated record. NCBI's taxonomy places the organism in Eukaryota, Metazoa, Chordata, Mammalia, Artiodactyla, Suidae. The transcript is spliced from 4 exons.